This 94-nucleotide small RNA is filed under the name Chryseobacterium limigenitum. RNAcentral describes it as "Flavo-1 RNA". It matches the Rfam family "Flavo-1 RNA". The record is from RNAcentral. Lineage: Bacteria; Pseudomonadati; Bacteroidota; Flavobacteriia; Flavobacteriales; Weeksellaceae.
CCCUAGCCCCGAUUGCAACGGCAUCCUUUUUGGUUGCGGGCGAAGCGAAGCGGAGCCCGUAAACAAAAAGAUAUAGUGGAAAGCGGGAUAAAGC